This 639-nucleotide long non-coding RNA is filed under the name Salmo salar (Atlantic salmon). RNAcentral's name for it is "lncRNA (ENSSSAG00000089582.1)". Lineage: Eukaryota; Metazoa; Chordata; Actinopteri; Salmoniformes; Salmonidae. The record is from RNAcentral.
GGCCUCCACAAUCACCCGACCUCAACCCAAUUGAGAUGGUUUGGACCGCAGAGUGAUGGAAAAGCAGCCAACAAGUGCUCAGCAUAUGUGGGAACUCCUUUAAGACUGUUGGAAAAGCAUUCCAGGUGAAGCUUGUUGAGUGAAUGCCAAGAGUGUGCAAAGCUGUCAUCAAGGCAAAAGAUGGACGUGGUACCCUCAGGCGUUUGGAAAUUGCUCCCAGGGAUGAACCAGACUUGUGGAGGUCUACAAUUGUUUUUCUGAGGUCUUGGCUGAUUUUUAUUUUAUUUUACCAUGAUGUCAAGCAGAGGCACUGAGUUUGAAGGUGGUGCAUUGCACACUUUUCCAACAUGGAAGGCUCCUACUCAACAACUACCAUUAUCAGCUUCCUUUGUGUCUAAAAGAUGAGCGAGUAUGGGGAUGUGGCAGGAGCAGUUGAUGGAUGUGGCAGGAGCAGAACUCUGUGUCAAGGUCUUUAGUCAUUAUGAUUAGUCCCACCUCUGGCACUUGUCACUUCAGGUAGGACAGGGUAACGAGAGAGAGAGAGAGAGAGAGAGAGAGAGAGAGAGAGACAGAGAGACAGAGAGACAGAGAGACAGAGAGACAGAGAGACAGAGAGACAGAGAGAGAGAGAGAGAGAGA